This 116-nucleotide ribosomal RNA is filed under the name Paramormyrops kingsleyae. The record is from RNAcentral. Lineage: Eukaryota; Metazoa; Chordata; Actinopteri; Osteoglossiformes; Mormyridae.
GUCAGCGGCCAGAGCACCUGCAGGUCAGACCUGGUAAUCAUGUGAAGUUAAGCAGGUUUGGGCCUGGCCAGUACUUGGAUGGGAGACCAACUAGGAAAGCUGGGUUGAUGCUGUAA